UACGGAGGGUGCGAGCGUUGUCCGGAAUCAUUGGGCGUAAAGGGCGCGUAGGUGGCCCGGUCAGUCUUUGGUGAAAGCGCGGGGCUCAACCCUGCGUCGGCCAGGGAUACUGCCGCGGCUCGAGCACUGUAGAGGCAGGCGGAAUUCCGGGUGUAGCGGUGGAAUGCGUAGAUAUCGGGAGGAACACCAGUGGCGAAGGCGACUUCCUGGCCUGUUCUUGACGCUGAGGCGCGAAAGCUAGGGGAGCAAACGGG
This 254-nucleotide ribosomal RNA is filed under the name uncultured bacterium. RNAcentral describes it as "partial 16S ribosomal RNA". It matches the Rfam family "Bacterial small subunit ribosomal RNA", at positions 524 to 776 of the family's 1533-position model. The record is from RNAcentral.